CCUACGGGGGGGCAGCAGUGGGGAAUAUUGGACAAUGGGGGGAACCCUGAUCCAGCGACGCCGCGUGAGUGAAGAAGUAUUUCGGUAUGUAAAGCUCUAUCAGCAGGGAAGAAAGAAAUGACGGUACCUGACUAAGAAGCCCCGGCUAACUACGUGCCAGCAGCCGCGGUAAUACGUAGGGGGCAAGCGUUAUCCGGAUUUACUGGGUGUAAGGGGGGCGUAGACGGCGAUGCAAGUCUGAAGUGAAAGGCGGGGGCCCAACCCCUGGACUGCUUUGGAAACUGUAUGGCUGGAGUGCAGGAGAGGUAAGUGGAAUUCCUAGUGUAGCGGUGAAAUGCGUAGAUAUUAGGAGGAACACCAGUGGCGAAGGCGGCUUACUGGACUGUAACUGACGUUGAGGCUCGAAAGCGUGGGGAGCAAACAGGAUUAGAUACCCUUGUAGUC
Molecule: ribosomal RNA, 444 nt
Filed under: uncultured bacterium
Lineage: Bacteria
Description: partial 16S ribosomal RNA
Rfam family: Bacterial small subunit ribosomal RNA
Source: RNAcentral